RNAcentral lists this unclassified non-coding RNA (802 nucleotides) under Hevea brasiliensis (rubber tree). The record is from RNAcentral. Lineage: Eukaryota; Viridiplantae; Streptophyta; Magnoliopsida; Malpighiales; Euphorbiaceae.
CGGGUGGAGGUUCAUUAAUAUUCUGGUCAUCCAUUGUAUCAUUAACGUAUGCCCGUGAUUUUUCGAAGGCACUGGCACAGAAAUCAAAGGGUUUUCCAGCUUGCACAGAAUCACUGGAUGUCUCAAGAGUCACUUUAUUGGAGUCAAUCCUCAGUUCAUCAUGCAACUCUGAAGAACUAUUUUCAGUUGUCUGGUAACAAUGAAAGGAAGAUUCAAAGGUCUCCUUAUUCAAUUUGUCAUCCUCUGAGAACUUAACUACCUUUCGCACUUCCUCUUUGACAAGNNNNNNNCAUAUUCGACCAAAGACACCUUUGUGGACACAUGUAGUUCAUUUUCUACAUAUUCUAAGAUGCAUUUUAUGCCAUCAUAUGCACAACCACUGUCUGAUAGGCUGUUCAGUUUUGAUGACUUCUCCCCAAAAGGCACAAAUGAAGAAAUGCAAGGUGAUUGUGAUUGACUAUCUUUUUCAACCAUCACAAGAUCAAAAUCAGGAGGACAUUCAACAUCGCAAUCAAAGGAUUCAAGCUCACUGGGUAAUUUUUCAGUCUCCUUGACAUAAUCCGUGACAGUAGCAGGGAUUCUAAUAUUUUGAUGAGCAAACCAAUGUUUUCUUUUCCGCCAGAAAGUAGAAUAUUCUCUUAUGGCAUCAUAAAAGACAGCAUUCCACAUGACUUCCAUGCAAUAAUCAAAAAGAAUUCUACAAACAACUGCAUAAGACCUCCAGACAUUAUCAAUGCUUCCAACAGAUUUUGUGCUUCUUUGAAACUGCACAGGUAUCUGAUCAACAUAUGCCUUAUCAGAG